This 463-nucleotide ribosomal RNA is filed under the name uncultured bacterium. Its description in RNAcentral is "bacterial SSU rRNA". It matches the Rfam family "Bacterial small subunit ribosomal RNA", at positions 30 to 486 of the family's 1533-position model. The record is from RNAcentral.
AUUGAACGCUGGCGGCAUGCCUUACACAUGCAAGUCGAACGGCAGCACGGGAGCAAUCCUGGUGGCGAGUGGCGAACGGGUGAGUAAUAUAUCGGAACGUGCCCGGUCGUGGGGAUAACGUAGCGAAAGCUACGCUAAUACCGCAUACGAUCUACGGAUGAAAGCGGGGGAUCGCAAGACCUCGCGCGAUUGGAGCGGCCGAUAUCAGAUUAGGUAGUUGGUGAGGUAAAGGCUCACCAAGCCGACGAUCUGUAGCUGGUCUGAGAGGACGACCAGCCACACUGGGACUGAGACACGGCCCAGACUCCUACGGGAGGCAGCAGUGGGGAAUUUUGGACAAAUGGGCGCAAGCCUGAUCCAGCAAUGCCGCGUGCAGGAUGAAGGCCUCGGUUGUAAACUGCUUUUGUACGGUAACGAAACGGUAGAGCUCUAAUACAGUUUGCUAAUGACGGUACCGUAAGAA